GACGAACGCUGGCGGCGUGCCUAAUACAUGCAAGUCGAACGCAGUGGGGACGGGUGAGUAACACGUGGGUAACCUCCCAUCAGAGGGGAUAACACUUGGAAACAGGUGCUAAACCGCUACUUGUGGAUGGACCCGCGGUGCAUUAGCUAGUUGGUGAGGUAACUGCUCACCAAGGCCACGAUGCAUAGCCGACCUGAGAGGGGUGUAAGCAACACUGGGACUGAAGCACGGACCAGACUCCUACGGGCGGCAGCAGUAGGAAAUCUUCGGCAAUGGACGAAAGUCUGACCGAGCAACGCCGCAUGAGUGAAGAAGGUUUUCGGAUCGUAAAACUCUGUUGUUAGAAAAGCGGUAUAUAACCAAAAAGCCGCGGCUAACUACGUGCCAGCCGCCGCGGUAAUAC
Molecule: ribosomal RNA, 403 nt
Filed under: uncultured bacterium
Lineage: Bacteria
Description: partial 16S ribosomal RNA
Rfam family: Bacterial small subunit ribosomal RNA
Source: RNAcentral